RNAcentral lists this ribosomal RNA (460 nucleotides) under uncultured bacterium. RNAcentral describes it as "partial 16S ribosomal RNA". It matches the Rfam family "Bacterial small subunit ribosomal RNA", at positions 338 to 795 of the family's 1533-position model. The record is from RNAcentral.
CCUACGGGAGGCAGCAGUGAGGAAUAUUGGUCAAUGGCCGUAAGGCUGAACCAGCCAAGUCGCGUGAAGGAAGAAGGAUCUAUGGUUUGUAAACUUCAUUUAUAGGGGAAUAAAGGUAUCCACGUGUGGAUCUUUGCAUGUACCCUAUGAAUACGCAUCGGCUAAGCCCGUGCCAGCAGCCGCGGUAAUACGGAGGACGCGAGCGUUAUCCGGAUUUAUUGGGUGUAAAGGGAGCGUAGGUGGUUGUUUAAGUCAGCGGUGAAAGGUUGUGGCUCAACCAUAAAAUUGCCGUUGAAACUGGAAGACUUGAGUGUGGUUGAGGUAGGCGGAAUGCGUGGUGUAGCGGUGAAAUGCAUAGAUAUCACGCAGAACACCGAUUGCGAAGGCAGCUUACUAAGCCAUAACUGACACUGAAGCACGAAAGCGUGGGGAGCAAACAGGAUUAGAUACCCCAGUAGUC